CCGCGUCGGAUGCUGCCGCUGCCGCUGCUGUUGCCUCGCAGCAGGUCCAGACGCAGCAGAACUUAAAGAACCAGGCCUACGCCGCGAAGGUUGCGGCCCAGGACCAGGCUAUAGCCGCGAAGAACGCUGCGGCCGCGGCGGCUGCGGCGGCCAA
Molecule: non-coding RNA, 154 nt
Filed under: Lotharella globosa
Lineage: Eukaryota; Cercozoa; Chlorarachniophyceae
Source: RNAcentral